This 652-nucleotide long non-coding RNA is filed under the name Homo sapiens (human). RNAcentral's name for it is "HSALNT0255205". Lineage: Eukaryota; Metazoa; Chordata; Mammalia; Primates; Hominidae. The record is from RNAcentral.
CAGCAAGAUCCUGUAUUAACAUCUCAGAAACGGACAGCAAGAUCCCGCAUUAACAUCUCGGAAAUGGACAGCAAGAUCCCAUAUUAACAUCUCGGAAACGGACAGCAAGAUCCCGCAUUAACAUCUCGGAAAUGGACAGCAAGAUCCCGUAUUAACAUCUUGGAAAUGGAAAUGGAAAGCAAGAUCCCAUAUUAAUGUCUUGGAAACAGAAAGCAAGAUCGACAUUCACACCUCGGAAAUGGAAACAGAAAGCAAGAUCCUGUAUUAACAUCUCGGAAAUGGACAGCAAGAUCCCGUAUUAACAUCUCGGAAACGGAAACGGAAAGCAAGAUCCUGUAUUAACAUCUCGGAAACGGAAACGGAAAGCAAGAUCCCGCAUUAACAUCUUGGAAACGGACAGCAAGAUCCCGUAUUAACAUCUCAGAAACGGACAGCAAGAUCCCGCAUUAACAUCUUGGAAAUGGACAGCAAGAUCCUGUAUUAACGUCUUGGAAAUGGAAACAGAAAGCAAGAUCCCAUAUUAACAUCUCGGAAAUGGACAGCAAGAGCCUGUAUUAACAUCUCAGAAACAGAAAGCGAGAUACCGCAUUAACAGCUCGGAAAUGGACAGCAAGAUUGCGUAUUAACAUCUCGGAAAUGGACAGCAAGAUCC